Molecule: long non-coding RNA, 643 nt
Organism: Mytilus californianus (California mussel)
Lineage: Eukaryota; Metazoa; Mollusca; Bivalvia; Mytilida; Mytilidae
Exons: 3
Source: RefSeq, a predicted model, not a curated record
GUGCUGAUGUAGGGCAGACGUACAGCAGAUACAGGUUGUCCAUAUAUUAAAAGGGAUUGAUCAUGGUGAAGGUACAAAGCUGCAAAAAUGAUGACUGCAUGUGCAUCGAUCAAUAUCCACUCAAUAAUAUGAAAACACGAUGAAAACAAACGAUGAAAACAAACGAACCAGCAGCAGAAAAGAAAUUUGAGUAUAAGAUUAUUGAAAGAUUAAUCAAUGAAGACUUAAUGGAACAGGAUUGGAAUGCAGAAACUUUGGACUUAAUUCAUGAAUAAUAUCAAUGGAUGAUGAAGAAAACUGACCAAACUGACAAAGUAUUUCGUAUGCAUGUAAACUGAACAUUUUUGUUUGUUUAACAUUGUUUAAUGCACAAUAAACAAAUUUGUAAAAUUGAAAAUUAAAACCAUUUGUGAAAGAUUUCAAGAGGACCAAAAGUUACCAUGGAUUUAUGAAUGAUUUAACCAGAAAAAUGAUUUACAUGUACAAUUAAGUAAAUACAUCUUUGACUAAAAAAUGAUAAUUUGUCAACGUUAAUAUUUUAAAGAGGUUGAUCUUUUCGUUUAAAAGGUCUUAAAUGUGGAUGAUGUAUAAACUGUUGUAAUUUCUUUAAUUGUUGACUUGCAUUAAAAUGGUUAUUGUCUUA